GGCUUCUUUUUCCCUGGACGUUAGACUGGUUUUGUGGUGACUGAGAAAUUACGGAUAAUAUAAGUGGGGGAGUAGGUGAUGUUACAUAACACAUUGCACCGUUUUCCCUUUUUAUCUUUCGUAAAUUGUACAAGUGAACAAGAGUAUCCAGUUAUCCUUGCAAUGAAAAAGCAACAAGCUUUGAGUGUGAAGUCUCGUUUAUAACAUGCACUUGCCGCACGUGAAUAAGGAACAGUGGAACCUUAUACAGAGGGUUUCCACAUGCUCUCUUAUCUAUCCUUGCAUUCUCAUUCGUCAGACAUUAUUAACAGUAAUUGAAUAACGUGUGUGCUUUAUCAGAAAAAUCUGUCAAAAGAGUAUUUCCAUAGAUCUGUGUUGGCUACUUAGCCUAUAGGCCUAUGUUCCACAGAAUAUUCAUGAAGCACUUUAUUUUCCUUGAGGUCUGUGGGUUAAUUGUGUUUUCAACCUUUCUAAUAAUGUUAGUAUACCAUAAAACAAAAACAUUUAACUGUCAGUUAUUGCAUUUUCCAUUAAAUUGCGUCUUGUUCUUUCAAACACAGGCCUGCCAUUUUUUUAUGUUCUAGAAUAUAAUCUUAUUCUAGAAUCACCUUCUGUCUAGAGAAUAAUUUGUUAUUAAAUUUGUGAGCACGACAAUAAAGCAUGUUUGUCAUCAAAGCAAAUGCUGAAGGGGCCGGCUUGGUGAAGCGUUGUUGCUAAUGAAGCGAUACCUAUUAUUUUCUGGAUAAGAGCUCCCUCCAUCUCCAUGGCGACGUGGAGAUCUUACAUUCUAAACCAUGGAGUGUGCGCGCAGCUUUCUCGCUUGAAGGGGGAUCGGUUCGAUGGCCGGACAAAGCGAAAGGUAGAGCCCUCUACCUUGCGAAAGAAAAAUAACCGAUAGGAUCUGUUUUGGGGACGAAAGGGGGAACAAUUCUGAGACACAAGUCAUCUUCAUAGGAAAGAAGCCGGGAAUCUUCUAGCUUGGAUGGCAGGAUAGAGGAGGGAACAAAAGGAAGGAGUACAGAAGUUAUCCUAACUAAGAAAUUUCCUGAAAAAUGUCAAUGACCUGACGCAUGUCCUCUACAGCAGUGCUUGGCCACACACUCAGUGGAAAGGAGAGAGCAGCACCACCACUCCUUAAAUCCAUAGUCAAGUUUUGUGUUUUUUUUUCUUUUUUUUUUCUUCUGUUUGAUACUCUGAUCUUCAAUGUGUAUUGAUUCCUACUAGCCAGCUUUGUAAGAGCUAGGUUUGUACUAGUUAUGCUAAUGAUCAUUGCAGUUUUUUCUGCAUCAGGAGAGAAACUGGAUUCCCCAAGAGAGAAAAAAGAUGCCAUCUAGAACCUAAAAGGGUUAAUCAAAAAAAGUGCCAUCUAGAACCUAAAAGGGUUCUCAGCUGUCACCAUGAAGAAAAGGACGGAGGUUUUUACACAUUUUUACUGACCAGAAUAUGAAGUAUUUUUCUGGCCAUGAUACAACCAGUUGGUCAUAAUUGUGACCUCUAUCUGACCAGCUGGUCAUAGUUCCGACCACUAUAUUAUGUGCUAUAUUAUGUACUGGUCAUAGUUAAGACCUCAUCGUAACCUCGUAAUGACCACCUGACUACAGCUUAUAACCUACUGUAAAAAGUAUUGUAGAGGAACAAGUUGGAUAUUGAAAACAUUUUAUUAUAUUUAUAUUUGUUUACAUAGGCACCAAUUAAAGUUGAAAUCUGCAACAUUCUUACAUUUAAAAUAGAUCAAGCAAUGGCAAAAACAAAUCAUAACUCACCCACAGACAUUACAUGCAUAGAAAGACUGGGAAACAGAGGAUAUAAUGGCCCAUUGUAUUAUUUUUUAUUAAUGAUUAAUAAGAGUGGUGUGAUGGGGUAGAUCCUCAUCAAUUCCACCGUCCGCAACCACAGGGCUCUCCAGACAAUGGUGCAGUCAGCCCAAUGCAUGCCUGCCCUCCAGGACAUCUACAGCAUCCGGUGUCACAGAAUGGCCAAGAAGAUUAUCAAGGACCUCAGCUACCUGAGCCAUGGCCUGUUUACCCCACUACCAUCUAGAAGGCGGGAAAUGUAAUUAGCGACAAAACACCAUCCUCAAAAGCGCACCACAUAUGCGAGCGGUUUCAUGUGACAGAUAUGAAUAGAAUGGGGAGAUCUAAAGAUGCAUCAACUGGGUUACUGAUUUGGCAAGGAUUAUGCCUUUGGCUGCUGGACAAUAAAAUAACAUUGAUUUGAAAACCAAUAGUUUCAAUGGCAUAUAAAGUGUUUAUAAAAUAAUUCCCUCAACAUUUCUAUGAUCGUAUUUUGGCUAGGCUAGGCUACUUUAAAACAAGGUAUAAUAUGCUUCAUAAAAUGACAUGAAACAUCCAGGUUUUAAACAAUUAAGAUUAUGGUUAAAUAGUUUCAAAAUGCUAACCGCCUCCGCUCAGAUUCAAGGUAAAAUGAAAUGCUAUUUGUCACAUGCUUCGUAAACAACAGGUGUGGACUAACAGUGAAAUGCUUACUUACAGGCCCUUCCCAACAAUGCAGAGAGAAAGAAAAUAGAUCAAUUAUAGAAAAGUUAAACACCUAAUAAUAAAAGUAAUAAUACAUACACUAUGAAUAUAGAUAACUUGGCUAUAGACAAUGGGUACCAGUACCUUGUCGAUGUGCAAGGGUACGAGGUACUGUAGAUAUGUACAUAUAACUAGGAAUAAAGUCACAGAUAGUAAACAGCAGCAGCACCGUAUGUGAUGAGUCAAAAAAAAGGUAUGCAAAAAGGGGCAAUGCAGAUAGUUAAAUAGUUAACCAAAUAGAUAUCCGGACUAACUAUUUAGCAGUCAUAUUUUUUACAUUUUAGUCAUUUAGCAGACGCUCUUAUGGCUUUGGGGUAGAAGCUGUUCAGGGUCCUGUUGACUUCUGACUUCAGACUUCUGUACUGCUUGCCAUGCAGUAGCAAAGAGAACAGUCUAUGACUUGGGUGGCUGGAGCCUUUGAACAUUUUUAGGGCCUUCCUCUGACACCGCCUGCACCGCCUCCUUAGUGAUGUGGACACUGAUGAACGUGAAGCUCUCGACCCACUAAACUACAGCCCCGUCGAUGUUGCUUUUCUCGAAGCGAGCAUAGAAGGCAUUUAGCUUGUCUGGAAGGCUUGUGUCAUUGGGCAGCUCGCAGCUGGGUUUCCCGUUGUAAUCCAUGAUAGUUUGCAAGUCCUGCCACAUCCGAGGAGCGUCAGGGCUGGUGUAGUAGGAUUCAAUCUUAGUCCUGUAUUGAUGCUUUGGCUGUUUGGUGGUUUGUCGGAGGGCGUAGCGGGAUUUCUUAUAAGCGUCCGGGUUAGUAUCCUGAUCUAGGGUGUAAUCAUUAGUCAAUUUACUGUGUAAGUCUAUGGAAGGGGGUGAGAACCACGAGCCUCCUAGGUUUUGUAUUAAAGUAAAUUUACCCAGAGGAGAACGGAAACUAGCUGUCCUCUGGCACGUAUUAAUGAAGCCGGUGACCGACGUGGUAAUUUCCUCAAUGCCAUUGGGCAUGUCCCGGAUCAUAUUCCAGUCUGUGCUAGCAAAACAGUCGUGUAGCUUAGCAUCUGCUUCAUCGGACCACUUCCGCAUUGAGCUCAUCACUGGUACUUCCUGUUUGAGUAUUUGCUUGGGCCACACUUAUUUUUUACAGAAACAUUUAGCAAAACAGUCUUUAUAAUGUUAUGUCCUCAAUGUGAGCAGUUUAUUUUUGGAUGCAAUAUUCAGACAUUCACAAAAGCAGCAACAGCAAAACACAAUUCUCAUACAAAUCGGAAAAUGUAGGCUACAUUAGUCCUAGCGCUAACUGAGUAAAGAGUGAGCUAACACAAGUGGUCAUGUUUAGCCAACUCUCAGCUGAUAUAAACCAUAAUAUAAUUAUCUAAUAGCAAUUACUAUGUAAAGUUCAUCACAUCACGGGUGAGCACACCAUUGAAUAAAACAUUUUCAAAAAAUUGGAAGUAAUCCCAAUUUGGUGGGUAGAGUUUGUGCGGGCCACCAUCUUUGUUUUUAUGCAUCAACCAAAGAUAAGAAGAGGUGACAAGAUGAGUUGGGACUGUUUACAGUAUGCAUGUUGAAGGCGAAAGGGGUGUGUCAUCUACCAUCAUUCACUUCACAUCAUUCACUUCCGGAAGUUUACUCGGAAGACGAGUGAGCCAUCCCUUCACCUCGUUUUGUUAUUACAUUUUUGGUCUGACACCCAGAAUGCAUUGCAUGAUGUCAACAAACAUGGCUCCACACAUAGCUGGCAAAUAGCUUAGCAUUAGUUCAUCGUAAUCAGCACAACCUUCUAAAAUGUAUUUUACACACAUUAUAUGUGUCCAAUAUAAUCUAUGCAAGAAUCGGAAUGCAUGAUAUGUCACCAGUACUUAAAACAGUAAAUAAACAAUUGAUUACCUCACAAA
Salmo salar (Atlantic salmon) is the source of this 4378-nucleotide long non-coding RNA. RefSeq lists it as uncharacterized. NCBI's taxonomy places the organism in Eukaryota, Metazoa, Chordata, Actinopteri, Salmoniformes, Salmonidae. The record is from RefSeq and is a predicted model, not a curated record.